This 73-nucleotide transfer RNA is filed under the name Subdoligranulum sp. CAG:314. It matches the Rfam family "tRNA". Rfam says of the family: Transfer RNA (tRNA) molecules are approximately 80 nucleotides in length. Their secondary structure includes four short double-helical elements and three loops (D, anti-codon, and T loops). Further hydrogen bonds mediate the characteristic L-shaped molecular structure. tRNAs have two regions of fundamental functional importance: the anti-codon, which is responsible for specific mRNA codon recognition, and the 3' end, to which the tRNAs corresponding amino acid is attached (by aminoacyl-tRNA synthetases). tRNAs cope with the degeneracy of the genetic code in two manners: having more than one tRNA (with a specific anti-codon) for a particular amino acid; and 'wobble' base-pairing, i.e. permitting non-standard base-pairing at the 3rd anti-codon position. Lineage: Bacteria; Bacillati; Bacillota; Clostridia; Eubacteriales; Oscillospiraceae. The record is from Rfam by way of RNAcentral.
GGGAGCAUAGCUCAGUUGGGAGAGCACCUGCCUUACAAGCAGGGGGUCACAAGUUCGAGCCUUGUUGCUCCCA